CAGUAGCCACGGUAAUACGAAGGGGGCUAGCGUUGUUCAGAAUUACUGGGCGUAAAGCGCACGUAGGCGGACAUUUAAGUCAGGGGUGAAAUCCCGGGGCUCAACCCCGGAACUGCCUUUGAUACUGGGUGUCUAGAGUAUGGAAGAGGUGAGUGGAAUUCCGAGUGUAGAGGUGAAAUUCGUAGAUAUUCGGAGGAACACCAGUGGCGAAGGCGGCUCACUGGUCCAUUACUGACGCUGAGGUGCGAAAGCGUGGGGAGCAAACAGGAUUAGAUACCCGUGUAGUCCCUGUCUCUUAUAC
Molecule: ribosomal RNA, 301 nt
Filed under: uncultured bacterium
Lineage: Bacteria
Description: partial 16S ribosomal RNA
Rfam family: Bacterial small subunit ribosomal RNA
Source: RNAcentral